GGUGCUGGCUAGUAAAUUUUUAGCAUUUAGUAGCCAGUGAAGACUAAAUUUUCCAUGCCCAUAUUGACCCUUGAUCAAAAAACUCUAGAUAAUAUUACGCGCCAAUUUGACCUCAAGUUCACAGGUCAAAAGGCGAGUCUGAGUUACAGUUAGCGUGUUUACUUUGAGACGAUGAAGUGCCUUAUUCACCUCGUAGACAAAGAUUGUGGAAAGCUGAUUAAAUUUACAGAUACCAGUUGGAAUAAGGGAAUAAAGAUGAUGCACUACCGGUUUAUGGCUAUCAUUCCAAGUGUUAUUCGAUAUUCACAGACAGAACAAAGAUUGAACGAGCUACUAAAAGAGUUGCAUUACAGUCUGGUGAGAAGCAAACGAGUGAUGAGAGUCAAUCCAUGUCUAGACAAGGUUUUCGAUCAGCGCGACUAAAUCAUCAACCACCCAAGCUGUCCACCUGCGAUAAUAUUUGAAAACAGGAGAGCAAUAUUUACAAAAGAAUAUUAACAAAAUCAUAAUUGAGGACAUGUCUUGCCUCCUGUGUGCAUUAUCUGCAAAAAAGUACCUUUGUUGUACGGGUGUCAGAAUAAGACUGUCUCUGAUAAGCUGGUUUUAGCAGAAACUAAAGAUGGGGGUCUUCAGAGGUGUCUGCAUAUGAGACAACCUUUGAUAUAUUUUGUGAAGAUGUGAUUAGAAAAAGAAUUAUUUUCAACAAAGAAAUUCUGCGAAUGGCCAAGUUAUAAGAUAUGUUUAUUAAGAUGGCAAAGGACAUUGAACAAGUCGACAUUUCAAACUACCGGUAAUAAUUUGUUAUUUCUGUACAAUGGUUUUGUCCUUUGGGGGUGCGGGCGAUUUAGCCAAUUGGUCUGUCAUUAAUGGGCUCAACGGUUUGAAUCCUCUUCUCAAUGACAAGGUGUGGGAGUAUGCAGGGGUAUUCCCGUUUGGCCUACUGUACUACUAAUAUGUAGGCGAAUUAUCUGUCAUUGCAAGUGGAUUGGUGCAAAAUGACCAGAUAGCAGUGUCAACGUGCAAUAAAACAACAUUCAGUGGAUAUGAUUUAUGUGAAUUAAUUUUUGAAAUGUUGUUUUUAAUUACAAUACACAGGCAUGAUUUAUAUCUUUAAAAAAUAACCAAACAAUAUAUCUAAAGAUAAAUACUUUUCCAUUUGUUGAUUUUAGUACUUUGUUUUAUAUGUUUUUAUAUUUUACAUUCUCACUAUUUCAGCAUUAAUUAUUGCACAACUGUUACAGCAAGAUUUAAAUAAAUUAUUGAUAUAACAGUUAUUAAAAAUUAAAAAAAGGGUUUUCUGUAUUUUAAAAAAAAUAUUGAUAUUGAAAUGUAAUUGUAAAUUGCAAUACACAGGCCUAAUUUAUAUCUAUUUAAACCUUUAAUACUAGUCACUAAAUAAAAGAUUAAUGUUUUAAAUUUGUUUGGUGAUAGGGUGGAUUGCCAAGGUGAAAUUUGGUCUUUGUUCAAUAUUUAUAGGACAUUUAUGAUACGAGUUAUCUCCCCUUAUACCUUUUUGCCUGGGACCCCUAUUUGAAAUAUCACAUUUAUGCAUUGUUUUUUGGGUUGAAAUCAAAUAUGUCUAUGCAAUUAUCAAAUUUAUGUAUGAUUUCUGAUAAUAAAUUAAAUUCAAUAUCAAUACAAUGACGCUGUAUUUUCAUAAAUAGACAAAAACAUGCUACGAUGUGCAACAUUACUGCUUUGUGGGCGUUUAUUAUUGGUCCUGUGCAAAUACAAAUUGAGAUAUUUCCAUAAUUUUUUUUUUCAAAUGUUG
This is a long non-coding RNA of Patella vulgata (common limpet), 1771 nucleotides long. RefSeq lists it as uncharacterized. NCBI's taxonomy places the organism in Eukaryota, Metazoa, Mollusca, Gastropoda, Patellidae. The record is from RefSeq and is a predicted model, not a curated record. The transcript has 3 exons.